AUACUGCAUUGUUUGUAGGUCUGCAUACAAAUGGAUGUAACUGAUGACCUUGAUUUAACUCAUUCAUCUGACACAACAUCGGAGGAUGUCAAACUACCAGCGUCCACCUAGAGAGAGGCUGUGUUGCUCUUAGAGCAGCUUACUGUGGAUCAUACAGGUUCUGCUAUUUUACUGAAAAUUCAAGACAUGCUUCUUAAAUAUGAACACAUAAUAGAGCAUGAAAAAGAUCAGUAUGCAGCGGUCUCGAGAGAAGUCAGAACGUUGGAAAUGAAAAGGAAAAAUGAAAAUUAAUAGCAGAAUAGACUCAAGAUUUGAAAUCCGUAUUGGCUCAUCAAGAAGUGGAAUGGAAGAGUGAUAUCCAAAGCCUUAAGUAGAAGAUGAGCGUGGUGAAACACAGAGACACCUCUCUCAGGAAAAGAGUGCCAGAGCCCUGCAAGAAGGCAUUUUGAACAAUCACCUUUGGAGACAAAAGGAACUAGAAGAAGAGACAAGAAGAACUAUAGGAAGAAGUUCAGAUGAAUCCGACACUGAGAGAAAAAAGGAUCUGUUGUACAAAAAUCAGUUCCUGCAAGAUGAGAUUGCCAUGCUAAGACUAGAACUUGAUCAA
This is an RNA transcript of Oenanthe melanoleuca, 607 nucleotides long. It is a transcript of the gene named ankyrin repeat domain-containing protein 26, with no coding region annotated. The record is from RefSeq and is a predicted model, not a curated record. NCBI's taxonomy places the organism in Eukaryota, Metazoa, Chordata, Aves, Passeriformes, Muscicapidae. The transcript is spliced from 4 exons.